Molecule: ribosomal RNA, 443 nt
Filed under: Escherichia coli
Lineage: Bacteria; Pseudomonadati; Pseudomonadota; Gammaproteobacteria; Enterobacterales; Enterobacteriaceae
Also listed under: 1 other name
Description: partial 23S ribosomal RNA
Rfam family: Bacterial large subunit ribosomal RNA
Source: RNAcentral
GGGUUGUGAGGUUAAGCGACUAAGCGUACACGGUGGAUGCCCUGGCAGUCAGAGGCGAUGAAGGACGUGCUAAUCUGCGAUAAGCGUCGGUAAGGUGAUAUGAACCGUUAUAACCGGCGAUUUCCGAAUGGGGAAACCCAGUGUGUUUCGAUACACUAUCAUUAACUGAAUCCAUAGGUUAAUGAGGCGAACCGGGGGAACUGAAACAUCUAAGUACCCCGAGGAAAAGAAAUCAACCGAGAUUCCCCCAGUAGCGGCGAGCGAACGGGGAGCAGCCCAGAGCCUGAAUCAGUGUGUGUGUUAGUGGAAGCGUCUGGAAAGGCGCGCGAUACAGGGUGACAGCCCCGUACACAAAAAUACACAUACUGUGAGCUCGAUGAGUAGGGCGGGACACGUGGUAUCCUGUCUGAAUAUGGGGGGACCAUCCUCCAAGGCUAAAUACU